UACCUCCAGGAGUUUUGGACCUGGCUCAGAUUGAACGCUAGCGGGAUGCCUUACACAUGCAAGUCGAACGGCAGCACGGACUUCGGUCUGGUGGCGAGUGGCGAACGGGUGAGUAAUGUAUCGGAACGUGCCCAGUAGCGGGGGAUAACUACGCGAAAGCGUAGCUAAUACCGCAUACGCCCUACGGGGGAAAGCAGGGGAUCGCAAGACCUUGCACUAUUGGAGCGGCCGAUAUCGGAUUAGCUAGUUGGUGGGGUAACGGCUCACCAAGGCGACGAUCCGUAGCUGGUUUGAGAGGACGACCAGCCACACUGGGACUGAGACACGGCCCAGACUCCUACGGGAGGCAGCAGUGGGGAAUUUUGGACAAUGGGGGAAACCCUGAUCCAGCCAUCCCGCGUGUGCGAUGAAGGCCUUCGGGUUGUAAAGCACUUUUGGCAGGAAAGAAACGUCAUGGGUUAAUACCCCGUGUAAAUCUGACGGUACCUGCAGAAUAAGCACCG
This 503-nucleotide ribosomal RNA is filed under the name uncultured Achromobacter sp. Its description in RNAcentral is "bacterial SSU rRNA". It matches the Rfam family "Bacterial small subunit ribosomal RNA", at positions 1 to 495 of the family's 1533-position model. The record is from RNAcentral. Lineage: Bacteria; Pseudomonadati; Pseudomonadota; Betaproteobacteria; Burkholderiales; Alcaligenaceae.